AUACGUAGGUGACAAGCGUUAUCCGGAUUUACUGGGCGUAAAGGGCGUGUAGGCGGUCUUGCAAGUCAGAAGUGAAAUUCCUGAGCUCAACUCGGGCGCUGCUUCUGAAACUGCAGGACUUGAGUGCUGGAGGGGAUAGCGGAAUUCCUAGUGGAGCGGUAAAAUGCGCAGAUAUUAGGAAGAACACCGGUGGCGAAGGCGGCUAUCUGGACAGUAACUGACGCUGAGGCGCGAAAGCGUGGGGAGCAAACAGGAUUAGAUACCCUGGUAGUCCACACUGUAAACGAUGAAUGCUAGGUGUAGGGGGUAUCGACCCCUUCUGUGCCGCAGUCAACACAAUAAGCAUUCCGCCUGGGGAGUACGGCCGCAAGGUUGAAACUUAAAUGAAUUGGCGGGG
RNAcentral lists this ribosomal RNA (397 nucleotides) under uncultured bacterium. RNAcentral describes it as "partial 16S ribosomal RNA". It matches the Rfam family "Bacterial small subunit ribosomal RNA", at positions 523 to 918 of the family's 1533-position model. The record is from RNAcentral.